This 484-nucleotide ribosomal RNA is filed under the name uncultured bacterium. RNAcentral's name for it is "partial 16S ribosomal RNA". It matches the Rfam family "Bacterial small subunit ribosomal RNA", at positions 29 to 507 of the family's 1533-position model. The record is from RNAcentral.
AUUGAACGCUGGCGGCAUGCUUUACACAUGCAAGUCGAACGGCAGCGCGGGCUUCGGCCUGGCGGCGAGUGGCGAAUGGGUGAGUAAUGCAUCGGAAAGUGCCCAGUAGUGGGGGAUAGCCCGGCGAAAGCCGGAUUAUUACCGCCUACGACAUGAGGGAGCAAGCGGGGGACCGAAAGGUCUCGCGCUAUUGUAGCGGUCGAUGUCGGAAUAGCUAGUUGGUGGGGUAAAGGCUUACCAAGGCGACGAUCCGUAGCUGGUCUGAGAGGACGACAAGCCACACUGGGACUGAGACACGGCCCAGACUCCUACGGGAGGCAGCAGUGGGGAAUUUUGGACAAUGGGGGCAACCCUGAUCCAGCCAUGCCGCGUGCGGGAAGAAGGCCUUCGGGUUGUAAACCGCUUUUGUUCGGGAAGAAAUCCUCUAGGCUAAUACCCCGGGGGGAUGACGGUACCGAAAGAAUAAGCACCGGCUAACUACGUG